RNAcentral lists this ribosomal RNA (460 nucleotides) under uncultured bacterium. RNAcentral's name for it is "partial 16S ribosomal RNA". It matches the Rfam family "Bacterial small subunit ribosomal RNA", at positions 338 to 795 of the family's 1533-position model. The record is from RNAcentral.
CCUACGGGAGGCAGCAGUGAGGAAUAUUGGUCAAUGGACGAGAGUCUGAACCAGCCAAGUAGCGUGAAGGAUGACUGCCCUAUGGGUUGUAAACUUCUUUUAUAAAGGAAUAAAACGAGGCACGUGUGCCUUUUUGCAUGUACUUUAUGAAUAAGGAUCGGCUAACUCCGUGCCAGCAGCCGCGGUAAUAAGGAGGAUCCGAGCGUUAUCCGGAUUGCUUGGGUUUAAAGGGAGCGUAGAUGGGUUGUUAAGUCAGUUGUGAAAGUUUGCGGCUCAACCGUAAAAUUGCAAUUGAUACUGGCAGUCGUGAGUACAGUUGAGGUAGGCGGAAUUCGUGGUGUAGCGGUGAAAUGCUUAGAUAUCACGAAGAACCCCGAUUGCGAAGGCAGCUUACUAAACUGUGACUGACAUUGAUGCUCGAAAGUGUGGGUAUCAAACAGGAUUAGAUACCCGAGUAGUC